Molecule: ribosomal RNA, 493 nt
Filed under: Ilyonectria sp.
Lineage: Eukaryota; Fungi; Ascomycota; Sordariomycetes; Hypocreales; Nectriaceae
Description: partial small subunit ribosomal RNA
Rfam family: 5.8S ribosomal RNA (bases 168-321)
Source: RNAcentral
CCGNNGGUGAACCAGCGGAGGGAUCAUUACCGAGUUUACAACUCCCAAACCCCUGUGAACAUACCUAUUUGUUGCCUCGGCGGUGCCUGUUCCGACAGCCCGCCAGAGGACCCCAAACCCUGAUUACAUUUAAGAAGUCUUCUGAGUAAACCGAUUAAAUAAAUCAAAACUUUCAACAACGGAUCUCUUGGUUCUGGCAUCGAUGAAGAACGCAGCGAAAUGCGAUAAGUAAUGUGAAUUGCAGAAUUCAGUGAAUCAUCGAAUCUUUGAACGCACAUUGCGCCCGCUAGUAUUCUGGCGGGCAUGCCUGUCCGAGCGUCAUUUCAACCCUCAAGCCCCCGGGCUUGGUGUUGGGGAUCGGCGAGCCUCCGCGNCCGCNNUCCCCUAAANCUAGUGGCGGUNUNNCUGUAGCNUCCNNNGCGUAGUAGCACACCUCGCACUGGGAAACAGCGCGGCCACGCCNUUNAACCCCCAACUUCUGAACGUUUGACCU